CGUGAGUAACCUGCCCUGGAGUGGGGAAUAACAGCUGGAAACAGGCUGCUAAUACCGCAUAAUGCAGUUGGGCCGCAUGGCUCUGACUGCCAAAGAUUUAUCGCUCUGGGAUGGACUCGCGUCUGAUUAGCUAGUUGGUGGGGCAACGGCCCACCAAGGCGACGAUCAGUAGCCGGACUGAGAGGUUGGCCGGCCACAUUGGGACUGAGACACGGCCCAGACUCCUACGGAAGGCAGCAG
This 240-nucleotide ribosomal RNA is filed under the name uncultured bacterium. RNAcentral describes it as "partial 16S ribosomal RNA". It matches the Rfam family "Bacterial small subunit ribosomal RNA", at positions 116 to 354 of the family's 1533-position model. The record is from RNAcentral.